RNAcentral lists this long non-coding RNA (891 nucleotides) under Drosophila guanche. Lineage: Eukaryota; Metazoa; Arthropoda; Insecta; Diptera; Drosophilidae. The record is from RNAcentral.
UUUAUUUUUUCGUACCCAAGCAAUCCUUUUGUUUAACCUUAAUUCGAAAUGUUACAGAAUUAGCGUUAUUUUAUUACACAUAUAACACACAUAACACACAUAAAUUUGAUCGUUAUGGAAGAAAAUGAAGAGACCGAAGGACAGGCCGUGAGAGGAAGCUCAAAACGGUCCACACUGUCCACACGCUCAACACGCUACUCACGAAAUACAAAAGCUAUCUCAAAAUUCGAAAUUCCCACCAUAGAUACACAGUCAGAAUUGCAACUACUAAGGCUAUGUAGGCGCCACAAGCUUGACGAAAUUUUUAUUGGUGACUUUAACGACGAUGAAUUUGAUAAUAAAAACGUGUAUAAACGCAAGCAUGCAGAUCCGGAUGCACGUGAUAUCGCUCAUGAGAGUCCCAGCUACAGUAAAUUUAAACAACCCCUGUACGAUUGCUCGACUUAUCGUAUAUUAUAUAUUUUCUAAUUACACAUAAUUCUGACACACAGGCAAGCGGAAUGUCUCGCACGUUACAUGGCAACUGCACGGAAAUACAAUCGUCAAUUUAAAAACGAGAUCUCCAAACUCGUUGACUACCAGUGUUCGGCACUCGAGGCAGCCUAUCUAGUGCGGUAAGGCAUGCUGUUUCAAUCUAAUUCAAGUAUUCCUAAUAUCCAUUCUGUUUGUUAUUUAUAGAGUAACGGCGUAUACUACUCUUUGGCCACCGUAUCACAGUAAGACGGAAAUAUCCAAUACAUCUCGCAAAUUCUAUCGUUUGACAACAAAAGAACAAAGGAGGCUCGAAAAAGUUACUGGCAUGCCGUAUUCGAAACACUUUUAGGUUCAAUCCAAUUUGAUUGUAAUUCUCUAAAUCUAAAAGUAAAUUACUUCACUGAUUACUUAGCAUUA